This 492-nucleotide ribosomal RNA is filed under the name uncultured bacterium. RNAcentral describes it as "partial 16S ribosomal RNA". It matches the Rfam family "Bacterial small subunit ribosomal RNA", at positions 29 to 507 of the family's 1533-position model. The record is from RNAcentral.
AGUGAACGCUGGCGGUAGGCCUAACACAUGCAAGUCGAACGGCAGCACAGUAAGAGCUUGCUCUUACGGGUGGCGAGUGGCGGACGGGUGAGGAAUACAUUGGAAUUUACUUUUUCGAGGGGGAUCUCGUAGGGAAAGUUACGCUCAUACUGAAUACGAACUACGGGUGAAAGCAGGCGCUUUUCGGAACUUGCGCGAUUGAAUGAGCCAAUGUCGGAUCAGCUAGUUGGCGGGGUAAAGGCCCGACAAGGCGACGAUCCGUAGCUGGUCUGAGAGAGUGAUCAGGUACACGGUAACAGAGACACAUUACACACUCCUACGCUGAGCAGCAGUGGAGAAUAUUGGACGAUGGACGCGAGCCUAAUCCUGCCAUACCGCGUGAGUGAAGAAGGCCUUCGGGUUGGAAAGCCCUUUUGUUGUGAGAGAAAAACAGCAGGUUAAUACCCCGCUGUGCUGACGGUACCCAAAGAAUAAGCACCGGCUAACUUCGUG